UACGAGGGGUGCAAGCGUUACUCGGAAUUACUGGGCAUAAAGCGUGCGUAGGUGGUUCGUUAAGUCUGAUGUGAAAGCCCUGGGCUCAACCUGGGAAUGGCAUUGGAAACUGGCGACCUAGAGUGCGGUAGAGGGUAGUGGAAUUCCCGGUGUAGCAGUGAAAUGCGUAGAGAUCGGGAGGAACAUCAGUGGCGAAGGCGACUGCCUGGACCAGCACUGACACUGAGGCACGAAAGCGUGGGGAGCAAACAGG
This 253-nucleotide ribosomal RNA is filed under the name uncultured bacterium. RNAcentral describes it as "partial 16S ribosomal RNA". It matches the Rfam family "Bacterial small subunit ribosomal RNA", at positions 524 to 776 of the family's 1533-position model. The record is from RNAcentral.